Molecule: RNA transcript, 780 nt
Organism: Felis catus (domestic cat)
Lineage: Eukaryota; Metazoa; Chordata; Mammalia; Carnivora; Felidae
Gene: GNGT1
Gene name: G protein subunit gamma transducin 1
Exons: 4
Source: RefSeq, a predicted model, not a curated record
GGUUUAAUCAUAUUAGUGAAGAUUAUAAAGGAGCUUUAAAAUUGCAACGCUAGCGUGUAGUGCUAGAAUUGUUCAGAGAGCGUUCAUAAGAAAUCCAUUAUCACAGAAAACUAAAACAAAGAAAGAAUUCACUUACAGGCAAAAGAUGCCAGUGAUCAAUAUUGAGGACCUGACGGAAAAGGACAAAUUGAAGAUGGAAGUCGACCAGCUCAAGAAAGAAGUAACACUGGAAAGAAUGCUGGUCUCCAAAUGUUGUGAAGAAGUAAGGGAUUAUGUUGAAGAAAGAUCUGGCGAAGAUCCACUAGUAAAGGGUAUCCCAGAGGACAAAAAUCCCUUCAAGGAGCUCAAAGGAGGCUGUGUGAUUUCAUAAGAAAAAAAAAAAUCCUUGGAAUAUCUUGAGCUUUAAUGACAGUACUAGUUUUUGGUCAUAUAUAAGAAUUCUAUUAAGCAUAAGUUGUUAUUUCAGGACCAUGGAUUACUAGGUAAAAAGGAAUGAGGUAAGAUUAUAGGGAAACAAAAGAGACUCCUGGCAUAGCCUUAGCAUUUGGCUCUUCAACAAAACUUCCUGGUACCAGUAGUGAGAAUGAGUUAAGUAUACAUACUGCAGUAUAUACCAUUUGAGAUACUUGCACUUUGAGGGUAUUUUGUACACAUAAGUGAGUUUAAACUUUAGCAAGAAAAAAAAAAAAAACAGUUAUUCUAAUUUGGAUUGAUUUGAUUUGAGCCAGAUUUGAAAACAAGGCUAAUAUCAAACUUCCUAAAUUCUUAAAACAAUAUUAA